GGAUUGUGGCUCAGCGGUAGAGCGGUCGCCUCACAUGGGCCAGACCCGGGGUUCGAUCCUCAGCACCA
This 68-nucleotide transfer RNA is filed under the name Marmota monax (woodchuck). RNAcentral describes it as "tRNA.Val". Lineage: Eukaryota; Metazoa; Chordata; Mammalia; Rodentia; Sciuridae. The record is from RNAcentral.